ACAUUCUGAUCUGAGAGCUCAAUCCCCGUCCUCCUCAUGUGAUCAGAUCAACAGGUUAUGACUGCAAGCAAUGAAUACGACUUAUACAACUAAAGAAGUUUAUUAGUAGAGAAGAUUUAGAAGGAGGAGAAGGAAGAACUAAGUUUUCAAUGGAUUAUAUGCAAGGUGCUGUCGUUUCCUCUAAUGAAGAUGAGUUAAUAUUGAGUUAGUUGUUUAAAGAAUUAAGUUUAUGCUAUGAAUUGGUAUUUUCGUAUAUUAUAUCAAGUCAAUUUUUAUGUUUUCUUUUUUGUGGCAAAUUUUUUUUGUCAUUUAUUUUUAAAAUAAUAUUGAUUGAUUGAUUGAUGGAAUGACAACUUAAUUACCUUUAAUCUCAUUGCACUAUUGAUUCAAAUGAAGAAAUUCUAGAAUUUAUUUGUGUUAAAAUCAGUUUAAAUUUAAAAAAAUAUUUAGUUACUUGAACUACAUAAAAUAUGUAUGCAUCAUUUUUGGUUUAAUUGAUUUGUGUGCAUUUUCUGAAUGCAAAAAAGUGUAGGAUUUGUUUGUGUUUAAAUCAGUUUAAAAAAUAUUUAGUUGCUUGAAUUAGUUACUUGAGUUGCUGAAUAAUUAAUCAUUUUAAACAGGAUUUAAUCACUUGAGUUAGUUACUUGAAUUGGAUAAUACUCUUUUAUUGAAAUGGCAAGUUUUUUAAUUGGUAAUUUGUUAGGAAAGAAAAUAUUAUAUUUAAUGGAUGUAAACCAUAUUUAAAAUAGGUUAGUAUUAGAAUAAUAAUGUCAUGAAGAGUAUUACUUAUUUGCUUUAGUCUUUUAUAUUGUUAGUAUUAAAAUAGUAA
Non-coding RNA from Arachis ipaensis, 829 nucleotides. The record is from RefSeq and is a predicted model, not a curated record. Lineage: Eukaryota; Viridiplantae; Streptophyta; Magnoliopsida; Fabales; Fabaceae.